AAGUUGAUCAUGGCUCAGAGUGAACGCUGGCGGUAGGCCUAACACAUGCAAGUCGAACGGCAGCACGAGAGAGCUUGCUCUUUUGGUGGCGAGUGGCGGACGGGUGAGGAAUACAUCGGAAUCUACCUUGUCGUGGGGGAUAACGUAGGGAAACUUACGCUAAUACCGCAUACGACCUACGGGUGAAAGCGGAGGACCUUCGGGCUUCGCGCGACUAGAUGAGCCGAUGUCGGAUUAGCUUGUUGGCGGGGUAAAAGCCCACCAAGGCGACGAUCCGUAGCUGGUCUGAGAGGAUGAUCAGCCACACUGGAACUGAGACACGGUCCAGACUCCUACGGGAGGCAGCAGUGGGGAAUAUUGGACAAUGGGCGCAAGCCUGAUCCAGCCAUACCGCGUGGGUGAAGAAGGCCUUCGGGUUGUAAAGCCCUUUUGUUGGGGAAGAAAAGCAGCUGGCUAAUACCCGGCUGUCCUGACGGUACCCAAAGAAUAAGCACCGGCUAACUUCGUGCCAGCAGCCGCGGUAAUACGAAGGGUGCAAGCGUUACUCGGAAUUACUGGGCGUAAAGCGUGCGUAGGUGGUUUGUUAAGUCUGAUGUGAAAGCCCUGGGCUCAACCUGGGAAUUGCACUGGAUACUGGCAGGCUAGAGUGCGGAGAGGAUGGCGGAAUUCCCGGUGUAGCAGUGAAAUGCGUAGAGAUCGGGAGGAACAUCCGUGGCGAAAGCGGCAUCUGGACCAGACUUGGACACUUGAGGGCACGAAAGCUUGGGGGAGCAAACAGGAUUACGAAUUACCCUUGGUAGUCCACGCCUAAACGAAUAGCCGAA
RNAcentral lists this ribosomal RNA (824 nucleotides) under uncultured bacterium. RNAcentral's name for it is "bacterial SSU rRNA". It matches the Rfam family "Bacterial small subunit ribosomal RNA", at positions 10 to 818 of the family's 1533-position model. The record is from RNAcentral.